Coregonus clupeaformis (lake whitefish) is the source of this 1000-nucleotide long non-coding RNA. RefSeq lists it as uncharacterized. The record is from RefSeq and is a predicted model, not a curated record. Lineage: Eukaryota; Metazoa; Chordata; Actinopteri; Salmoniformes; Salmonidae. The transcript is spliced from 4 exons.
CACACACUGACCUAAAGAGAGAGACACACACUGAGAGUCGUACACAAACACACAGACACAUACACUCAGAGGGAAACAGACUAGCAACCAGUCAGAACCCAACCAAGUCCCCUAAGUGUUGGUGACUCAGCUGGCUGCGGCAGAGUCUCGCUAUAAGCUGUUGGACAGACACCCGGAGUACAUGAGGAAGAUAGUCCACAACGCAGAGGCUGACAGAACCACCCUGCUCAAACGCCAGGUUUUCCUGGAGAUGACCAGGUCAGCUGCUCCCGCCCCUGACUCCACACACCAGGCCCAGUUAGAUUAGCUGGAUCUACUGGAGCAGGAAUACCAGAGUCGCUCUGCCGGAGCGGUCAAGGGUCGACCGGGCGACCGCAGCAAGAAAAGUCUAACUGCUCAGGGACACGAGGUCACUGUGGUUGGUCACUGCAGGACCAACCACAAUGGAGCUACUGACCACAACACAACAGGACCAACCACAAUGGAGCUACUGACCACAACACAACAGGACCAACCACAAUGGAGCUACUGACCACAACACAACAGGACCAACCUCACUAACGUGACUGAGACACUAUUACUCACCAGACCACAACAGCAACUGGGCCAUGAUGCUGGAGAUCAGACUUGAUCAACCUGAACUUCUCUAAUGGCCUUCCCAUGGGUGUCGUUGUGUGGGGAAGAGGAAUGAUUCCAGGCCUAUCCAAAUACAUUUUAGAAGAGGAUGCUGAUGAAUGACUUACAGGAACAUUGUGGUGUAGAGAGGCGGGGUAAUGAUGUAUUUCUGAUGUCUUUGGGGGAGCAGUAUAUCAGUGACAUACUACAGACUCUCUGCAGAGAGAGAACACUCCUGAUGUGUGUACAGAAUGCACUGUCCAGCACACAUCUGCUUCCUCUAUCGAUUGGCUGACAGGGGUUUAACAGGGUGUGUGUUAUUGUAUAAAUCUGUUCACUGUGUUCCACUGCAAACCUCAGCUCACAGAAAUAUAAUUGUGUGUGU